AAGUCAAGAUACUUGUUGGAGCGCAAGAUCUCUUCGAUUGUUGGGUUAAUAACGGACAUCUCAUACCAUAACCUGUGGUCAUCUACCAUACUAUCAGCUGAUAUUGCUCGCGCACGUACGACCGUGUUAUCAUCACCAGAGUGUGCUAAGAGAAGAUUUUGGACUUCGGUGAUCUGGAGAAGCGGUUCUUGGGUCCCUAAAGGCAUCUCUUGGCCGUUGGAACUACCAAAAGGUUCGCAGCAUUGAUCAGUAAAAAAGGCAGGAGUUUUGUCGUGGAUGGUAGCCUUCCUCUUAGUGCUUAUGCAUUCGAGUGAAAAUUACGAUUCUGGACAGGUCGGGUUCGAUAUACAAUUGGUCGAUGAGAUUUUGGAUUGCCUGGUC
Molecule: small RNA, 381 nt
Filed under: Histoplasma capsulatum var. duboisii H88
Lineage: Eukaryota; Fungi; Ascomycota; Eurotiomycetes; Onygenales; Ajellomycetaceae
Description: Histoplasma capsulatum H88 hypothetical RNA
Source: RNAcentral